CGCGGAGUGGAGAAGAGGUAUCUCGUUAGGCUCAUAACCUAAAGGCGCAGGUUCGACUCCUGCUUCCGCAA
This 71-nucleotide transfer RNA is filed under the name Caudoviricetes sp. RNAcentral's name for it is "tRNA-Met". It matches the Rfam family "tRNA". From Rfam's summary of the family: Transfer RNA (tRNA) molecules are approximately 80 nucleotides in length. Their secondary structure includes four short double-helical elements and three loops (D, anti-codon, and T loops). Further hydrogen bonds mediate the characteristic L-shaped molecular structure. tRNAs have two regions of fundamental functional importance: the anti-codon, which is responsible for specific mRNA codon recognition, and the 3' end, to which the tRNAs corresponding amino acid is attached (by aminoacyl-tRNA synthetases). tRNAs cope with the degeneracy of the genetic code in two manners: having more than one tRNA (with a specific anti-codon) for a particular amino acid; and 'wobble' base-pairing, i.e. permitting non-standard base-pairing at the 3rd anti-codon position. Lineage: Duplodnaviria; Heunggongvirae; Uroviricota; Caudoviricetes. The record is from RNAcentral.